Arachis duranensis is the source of this 659-nucleotide long non-coding RNA. RefSeq lists it as uncharacterized. The record is from RefSeq and is a predicted model, not a curated record. NCBI's taxonomy places the organism in Eukaryota, Viridiplantae, Streptophyta, Magnoliopsida, Fabales, Fabaceae. The transcript is spliced from 2 exons.
UCACACUCAGUCCAAGGCAGGGCUCCUCUCAAUCGAGCUCCUGGCCGUCCCUCACCUGCGUCCAGCCACCGCCUCAUUUCACCGUCGUCGUUCCUUCGAGCAGCCACCGUCUGGUCGCUCACUUUCCCUCCCAUCGCACAGCCAUCGCAACCUUCCUCCGUCGCGCAGCCACCCUACCGCCAGCACUAGCUCUGUUCCUCUGCAACGUUUGAAGCCCGUUCGAAGUCCAUCGCGCAGCCACGCUUCCUUGUCUUGGUCACUCGGUGUUUCUGUCUCCCUCUUGCAUGCUCUGUUGAAGGCUUCUUCUAGCUUCUAGGAUAUUUGUCAGUUCAUUGUGAUGGUUCUUCAAGAUUUCCACUUCUGUCAUCAGGGUACCAAGUAUCUUAUCCACAUCUUGGUUCCCUUGCAAUACCACCUCGGUCAUUUGCUCUGUUGGCUUUGCUUUAGAAAUGCAUGCUUUUCUACCAUCAGCUUCUUAAUUUCAAUCCUAUGAACCUGAAUUUGCUUUGAUAAUGCAUGAUCCUUUUCAUCCUUUUGCCUUUGCAUAUUUUCAAGUUGUUUAGAUUUAACCUCAAGUUCUUGUGAUUCUUCAACCCUAGGUAUGAAUCUUUUUUUUGUAAUAAUAAUUGUUGAAACAUUGAUUAAUUGUUGGUUCUAAA